GAUGAACGCUGACAGCAUGCUUAACACAUGCAAGUCUUUGGCGAAGCUGUGCUUGCACAGCCUAGCCAAGGCGGACGGGUGAGUAACGCGUAAGGAACUUGCCCUGCAGUCAGGGAUAACAGACGGAAACGACUGAUAAGACCUGGUAAAGUCAGGCGGACUCAUGUCCAGCCUGAUGAAAAGAGAUGCUGCAGGAGAGCCUUGCGUCCUAUUAGCUUGUUGGUGGGGUAACGGCCCACCAAGGCGAUGAUAGGUAGCCGGCCUGAGAGGGUGGACGGCCACAAGGGGACUGAGAUACGGCCCUUACUCCUACGGGAGGCAGCAGUGGGGAAUAUUGGACAAUGGGGGCAACCCUGAUCCAGCAAUUCUGUGUGCACGAUGAAGGUUUUCGGAUUGUAAAGUGCUUUCAGCAGGGAAGAAAAAAAUGACGGUACCUGCAGAAGAAGCGACGACUAAAUACGUG
This 463-nucleotide ribosomal RNA is filed under the name uncultured bacterium. Its description in RNAcentral is "partial 16S ribosomal RNA". It matches the Rfam family "Bacterial small subunit ribosomal RNA", at positions 28 to 507 of the family's 1533-position model. The record is from RNAcentral.